UAAGGAUAGCAGAACACAGAUAGAAGGAGUCUCGGCUCCUUGGAGGGGAUCACCCGGGAGCCAGUCCUUGACUAUUUGCAUCAGAACUGCUUUUGUACAAGAGAAAAGAUAAAUCGUGCUCCUGCUGGGGCUGCCUGGGCUUGGCUCCAGGCUGCGGGUCGAGUUGGGUCUGUGCCAUGUGCUCCUCAUCCCCUGUGGACCAGAAGAUGUGCUUUUCUCAUCUCAGAUAACAGGAGGACACAAGACUGAACCACAAAAGCACAUUUAGAGCCUCUGCUCACCUCAUGCCCACCCACCUCCCAGUGGUCAAUGCAAGUGUCUUGACUAAGUUCAACAACAACGCCAUAAGGAGAUAAUCUCCAGCUGAUCUAUUGAGAAGCAUUGCAAACCCAAGAGGUGUGCCCAGCAGGAAAGCAGACAGAGCAAGUACUCAGUAUGGAAGCUGAGAAGGCGGCUCCUCCUUGCACUUCAGCCCUCCUCUACAGUGGCCCAUUUGACUUCAGGCAUCUUGCUUAACAGGGGACUUUGAUAAAGGGUAGCACAUCCACAGGGAAAGCAAGAUAACUCACCACCCUUUCUAACAAGAAGGUCAAAGGAAUAGGGGAUCUUGAGGGAGGAGAGAGUCACAAUGCCAAACAUUUCCCAGAGUGGUGUUGAAAAGAGAGACCGCCAUUUUGGGAAUGUUGUACCCAAUGUUGGGUCCAACGCUAGAGACCGUUGCACACUAAUGGCAGG
Lontra canadensis (Northern American river otter) is the source of this 735-nucleotide long non-coding RNA. RefSeq lists it as uncharacterized. Lineage: Eukaryota; Metazoa; Chordata; Mammalia; Carnivora; Mustelidae. The record is from RefSeq and is a predicted model, not a curated record. The transcript has 3 exons.